AAGGAAUAUUGGUCAAUGGAGGCAACUCUGAACCAGCCAUGCCGCGUGCAGGAUGACGGCCCUAUGGGUUGUAAACUGCUUUUGUACCAGAGAAAACCUACUCACGUGUGAGUAGCUGAUAGUAUGGUAAGAAUAAGCAUCGGCUAACUUCGUGCCAGCAGCCGCGGUAAGACGAAGGAUGCAAGCGUUAUCCGGAUUCAUUGGGUUUAAAGGGUGCGUAGGCGGACUUGUAAGUCAGUGGUGAAAUCUCUUCGCUUAACGAAGAAACUGCCAUUGAUACUGCAGGUCUAGAGUAUAGAUGACGUUGGCGGAAUAUGACAUGUAGUGGUGAAAUACUUAGAUAUGUCAUAGAACACCGAUUGCGAAGGCAGCUAACGAAACUAUAACUGACGCUGAGGCACGAAAGUGCGGGGAUCAAAC
This 420-nucleotide ribosomal RNA is filed under the name uncultured bacterium. Its description in RNAcentral is "bacterial SSU rRNA". It matches the Rfam family "Bacterial small subunit ribosomal RNA", at positions 356 to 773 of the family's 1533-position model. The record is from RNAcentral.